GAUUUACUCCCUCCAUCCCAAUAUGUAGCAACCUAGGAUGGGUCUAGGACUACGAAUCUGGACAUACCUAUGUCCAGAUUCGUAGUCCUAGACCCAUCCUAGGUUGCUACAUAUUGGGACGGAGGGAGUAAACA
Non-coding RNA from Oryza punctata, 134 nucleotides. The record is from Rfam. Lineage: Eukaryota; Viridiplantae; Streptophyta; Magnoliopsida; Poales; Poaceae.